CUUAUUCAAAAAUGAAUUUAAAAAUAUUGUUUACAAGGUUUCUUUGUUGGCAGGCUAACCUGAAGAGAGAGAGAAGAGAAGUUAGUGAGUGCACGACUACUUAUAAGCUGCUGUAAGGUGUGAGGAUAGGAACUAACUUGUUUUUGGUCACCAACGCUUUUUCCGGGGCGUGGCUUGUUGUACUGGCUCCUCCCGUAGUCGGAGUGGUUUGUGAUUUCUGUUUCCGGCUCGACGGGAAUUUUAAAAGCUCGCCUACUGCUCGUGUACUCAGUGUGAACACCGGGUUAUCUCAAAGUCAUUCAUACUUUAAAUGCGACUUUAUUCGGCAAAAAUUAAAUAGCCUAAAUAUAGACUAAACAUGGCCUCGGAUUGUCACUUCAACUCCAUAUCCAAGGAGGAAGAGGAGGGAGAGGAAUUUGAUCGGAUGCUGGAGCGGAUCGGUGGAAAGGGGAAUAUUUAUUUGGUAGGAGACACGGAUGGAGAAAACAACUGCAGCCUUUUCCAGGAGUUUAUCAUGGACAUGUUUCACACCGAGGUGCACAUCAAGAGGGACAAAAACGCAAAUCUCGGCAACGGGAACAUCAAAUCUGCCGCUGCGAGAAACUGUCCUGUUUCUGAUGUGGCUCAAGGAAAAGGCGAGAAUAACGCCGACGUGGACGAGAAAUGUGUCCGACACAUGCGCAAAAUCUCCGGUCACAGCGGACGAGCGAUUCAUUGCGCCGCCAUCAUCUUCAUUUUCAGACACGGAUACAUUCAGAACAAGGCGAACCAUGUGUGUAUGGAGGAGAUCCUGAAGGACAUAAAGGUUCGAGUGAAGAAAAAUCAUGGAGUUCAUCAGGCGGUACUGGGCCUCGUUCGUGCUGACGCUGAAAGCUCGGAGACUCGCGAGUCUGUGUCGCUCUUGGAGGGGACAGUGAGAUCUGUGUUCAUAAAACAUCCACACAACUCCAUAUGGAUUGGCCAUUUUAUUCCUAACGCAGCAGAUUGCAUAGAGAACAUCAAAAGGAACAUCUGCAAAGCUGUGAAUGAGUCUCAGAGCCCAGAUAACAUCUUGAGCCGUAAGCGAAAUAUUUUCUGGCCGUUGUUACAGUGCUGGAUCAGGAGAGGACGUAGAGAACGAGCCGAAGCGACAACAUAUGCUCAGGCACAGAAAGGUGAUCCUGAAAGCACAGAGGAAGGAAUUCCAUUACAGAUGAAAUCUGGCUUACAGUCCUGACAUCAGGUUUAUUAACAGACUGAUAAUGACCACAUGACCUGUGAAAUGCCCAGAAAGCUGAAAUACCUGCUGUGUUUGAUUUAUUAACUGACAGGAAUGUUGAAGGAGCAUCGGGAUAUGAAGAUUACUGAUGAAGCUGCUGCUCCUCGGUACUCCUUCAAAAUAAAAUUUCAAAGACAUUGCAAACAUUUUUUUUUGUCUUUGACAACCACGAAAAGGAUGUCAGUCACCAAACAGUGCCUCUGUUAAAGUUUUAAAGGGAGUUAAUUAGAGUAACUUACAUUUUUACAUUUGGAUUGAUCUGAAUUGUGUACUAAUUUUGUCAGGCAAUAUAUACUAGAACAGUCUAGGAUUUCAAUUAAUAGGUUAAUACAUGUAGAGCUUAAUUGUUUGCUAACAUAUUAGACAUUAAAUGUCUUAUUUUAAUUGUAUAAUUAUAUGUAGCAUCUUUAACAGUAGUCAUUGCAGUGAGUUUUCAGUCUUUGCUUUAAGUUUAAGUUCAAUUUCAAUUGCUUUUUUAUAUUUUAGUUUAAGUUUUAGUUUCCACAGUUUUAGUUGUGAACACAGAAGUGGUUUGCCAUCAUUGGAACUUUUGGGGGAAAAAAAAAAAUUUGUUUUCCACUUUAAACUAGAAUUCGCAUUGCAAAUACAUGGUUAAAAAUAAAUAAAUAAAUAAUCAAAUUCUUACUGCACACUUUUUCUAUUUAGUAUCUGAGGUGUUAUAUAUAUUUUGUUGUCAUAAUUGUCUUACAUUUUCAUAAUUGCUAACUGUAAAAGUGUUUAUGAAGCAGGUUUACAGAAAUCUGGGUCUGGACUCCUUAUGGGUAACUCAAGAAGGGGCAGAAACAAAAGAACAAAAAGAACAUUAGAAGAAAAACCUUUGAGUGGAACUGAGACUUAAAAAGCAAACAAUCAUCCUUUGGUAGCCACCUGGAGAGUGCAGUUACAACAGGAGAUGGACAAUGUGUAGGAAAAGUGGGCCUAACAAAGGAACUCUGCUCAAAUAAACAUCCUGGAGAUACGACCAGAAAUAAAACGCUAAAUUAGUGUUAGAACAUAAAAGGAGGAAUGCUGAAGAAAGGAUCCAGAAAAGAUUAGAAUCUUGUACUGGGUUUGCUCGGUCAAGCUAAUGUGUAGCUGAUUGAAAAUCAUGACACGGCAGGAGUUUAAAAGCGGUUUUGGAGUUUUAAGCACUUCAGUGAUACCACCCAAAUAAUAUCUGCUUCUAUGGUGGUCCUUUUCUGUUAAUGGAUAGGGUAACGGGGGGCCUAGAUUUUUAACACUGUAUAGUAGAUCGAGAUUAUAAACUGCUAUUUGGUAGUGUGUGAACAUUACUUUGCUAAGGGGUGAUGCUUCAAGACACCACAUGCACCUCUCUGAGAAAAUAAAAUAAAAUUGAGUCCAUCUCUGCUCUUACUUAUGUAAGUACAGUUUGGUACCUUUAUUUCUGAGAGUUUGUAAUGUAAUAUUAUUUCUACUAAUAAUAAUAAUAUGAGGUGAUGAUAUAUUCAUAAUAAUGGUAAUAAAUUAUAUUAGAAAUAAACUUAGAAAUAAUUGCAGUCACCUUCAGAGAAAAAAAACUAUAUAAAGUGAAGCGAAUGAGAAUUGUUUAGUGAGUAAAACACCUGAGCCAGCAGGUGAGUGUUACAAAUAGCACAUUUUGAGAUUAUGAAUGUUAAUUGGAAGGAUAUUAAGUGUGGAAGACUUAAAGUUCCCUUCAUUUUAACAUGAAUCUAGAUAUACAUUUUGACUGUAGGGCCCGUUUCUUGUUUUUCACCUCUUGGUCUAAAUCAGGUCACAUUAAGCCUCCUUUAGCCUUUAUUAUCCCCCACAGGUGGCACCAAACACUUUCACAAUAGUGCUGGAAUGCAACUAGUUCACAGGAGGGAUUACAUGUUUGACAGGUUCACUACAGAGAUAUUAAAAUGGUUUAAGUGUAUGCCUCAAUUUUACAUAAUUAAUUUCAAGUAAUAAUGCAUCUUUUCUCUUCUCCUAUACCUAUGUUUUAAAAUGUGGCUCUUUAUUGUCAUUGUGAAACUACAUUAGCUUUCCAUACCUAUUACUAACAGUGUAAAAAUCAAUAAUUAAAAAAAUACACAUUUCAACUAGAACUCCUCUCGUGCAAUAAGCAGCCUAUUAUUCACAUUGAAAAGAGCAUGGCUUACAAACCCACAGAGAACAGAUCAUAUUAAAAUAGUCAUUAUAAAUUUAUCAUUAUCAUGAAUAAAACCCAACAACAUUUGACAUUGCUUUUAUCUCACAUGUUAAAAUAUGCACUGUUCAUUUUUCAUGUGCC
Long non-coding RNA from Ictalurus punctatus (channel catfish), 3512 nucleotides. NCBI's taxonomy places the organism in Eukaryota, Metazoa, Chordata, Actinopteri, Siluriformes, Ictaluridae. The record is from Ensembl.